Corylus avellana is the source of this 142-nucleotide non-coding RNA. The record is from RefSeq and is a predicted model, not a curated record. Lineage: Eukaryota; Viridiplantae; Streptophyta; Magnoliopsida; Fagales; Betulaceae.
GAACCUAUAAAAGAUUCAGAGCUCAUAUUACAUAUUCUUGCAGGGCUUUCUGGAGAAUACAACUCCGUGGUAACAUCUAUUACCACUCGGAUCGAGCCUGUUACUUUAGAAGAUCUCUAUGCCCACAUGCUCACCUAUGAGC